CUAUCACAGUGAAGAUUUUCAAAACCAUUAGCACCACUGCGUCUCUGUCAGCUUCCGUAAAGUCAACAUUUUAGUCUGCCUAUUGCACGUCCAUCUUGUUUUGAUGAUCAUUGGACUACUGCACUUAAAUGGCGAAGGUCGAAUAGAACCAUUGAUUGUGUUCAGGUCGAAUAGAACCAUUGAUUGUGUUCUGUGCUUUGUUUCAACUUCAACAUUAAGACAGAAAC
This is a long non-coding RNA of Hibiscus syriacus, 227 nucleotides long. RefSeq lists it as uncharacterized. The transcript has 3 exons. Lineage: Eukaryota; Viridiplantae; Streptophyta; Magnoliopsida; Malvales; Malvaceae. The record is from RefSeq and is a predicted model, not a curated record.